AAAAUCAUUAACGUAGUGCAAGAAGAACAUAUUUAUUCGUUUGAAUUUGUUCCCCCAGCAAGAAAAUAUCAUAAAACUUGUUUCGAGACGAGCACAGCUCAAGCUGCCUUCCUCACUAAAACCCAUACCUGAGUGGCCGAAAUCCUUAGGACUCCGCCAAACGCAAAAUCGACUUUUUGUGUUGUUUUCAAAGCGAUGCAUGACCUCAUCUGCCUCUUGCAAAGUUUUAACAUACUUGGGGUACAAGCCACAAGCAAUUGGAGUAGGUUUAUGAACAUAUUCUAUGGAAAUUUCGGGCGUUUGCUCUGGAAUUUCAGUUUGCACAAUCUCAGUGCGUUCUUCUGACUCCGCCAUUUUGGUUUAUGGCAUGCAGUCAGUUAUACGGUUUUUUACCCUAUUCAUAUCUCGCAAAUACCUGUUAAAAAACAAUUGAAAAAUUACAACUUAUAUUUCCUUUUCAUGCUAUACUAUU
Paramuricea clavata is the source of this 472-nucleotide non-coding RNA. Lineage: Eukaryota; Metazoa; Cnidaria; Anthozoa; Malacalcyonacea; Plexauridae. The record is from the annotation of a GenBank genome assembly.